AGAAUGCGCUGUUUAUCGUCCUUGAGGCCCCCUUUGAUUUUAACAAGAAUGACACGCUGGCUUCGGGGAAGUGCUGGUGUACAAUGUUGCAUGCGAACUCCAGCACCAAGAGAAGAAACAUCCACCUCCCUUCUCCAAUAUCCAGCACAAGUCAUUGAGCAG
This is a long non-coding RNA of Polypterus senegalus (gray bichir), 162 nucleotides long. RefSeq lists it as uncharacterized. The transcript is spliced from 3 exons. Lineage: Eukaryota; Metazoa; Chordata; Cladistia; Polypteriformes; Polypteridae. The record is from RefSeq and is a predicted model, not a curated record.